Molecule: RNA transcript, 1787 nt
Organism: Populus euphratica (Euphrates poplar)
Lineage: Eukaryota; Viridiplantae; Streptophyta; Magnoliopsida; Malpighiales; Salicaceae
Exons: 5
Source: RefSeq, a predicted model, not a curated record
UACUGCCUAGUGGAAAUAGAUUUAGCUGAAGGUGUCUGUUUACUAAUUGUUGAUGAUGACUGAUUUUGUUUCUUUCUUCACUAAAUCCAUGCGGACACAAGAUCCUCCUUUUCUCUGAUAAAAACACCCAUACAACCCUUUUUUGGCACACCACAGCAGCACCCAGAAUUCUUAGCAAAUGAAGGCCAACACCAUCCUGAAAUGGCUAGCUGUCUCCCUCGCCAUUUUGAUCGCUCUUAGCCAGUCCAGAGCGGAAGAAACACAACCCCUUUCAAACAAUCUGAAAAUCGAUCUUUUUCUUGACAAAAUUGGUCAGUGGAGUCAUCAUCACAUACAAUCUCAAGAAACAGGAUUGAAACUAGCACCCUCUAUGGUGAUAGCUGGAGCUUUAUGUUUCAUAGCUGCCUCUAUAUCUAGUGCAGGUGGCAUUGGUGGAGGGGGGUUGUAUAUUCCAAUACUAACUAUAGUGGCAAGUCUAGACCUGAAAACAGCCUCAAGUUUCUCAGCUUUUAUGGUCACUGGAGGGUCUGUUGCUAAUGUCAUGUGUAACAUGUUUACAAGAAGUGCGAAGUUCGGUGGUCAGACCUUGGUAGACUAUGAUAUUGCAAUUCUGUCUGAACCGUGCAUGUUGUUAGGGGUUAGUGUUGGGGUUAUUUGUAAUCUUGUUUUCCCAGAGUGGCUUGUCACAAUUUUGUUCGCUGUUUUUCUUGCUUGUUCUACCUUUAAGACUUGUCAGAAUGGCGUUUUUCAUUGGAAGUUGGAAUCGGAAGAAGUGAAUAGAAAUGGAAGUGGGAAUUUGGAAAAUAGAUUGGUUGAAAAUGAGACGAGCACUAAGGGAAGUGAAGAGGUGAUAUGCAGUGUCAAGGAGCCUCUUUUGGGUGUAGAAUUAACUAGUUCCGUAUUGAAGUUUCCAUGGAUGAAGUUGGGGAUAUUAUUCAUCAUCUGGUUCUCCUUCUCCAUCCUCUAUCUUCUUCGAGGCAAUCGGUAUGGAGAGGGUAUUAUACCAAUGGAGUCCUGUGGAUUUGGAUAUUGGGUUGUCUCAUCACUUCAAAUUCCUCUUGCAAUAAUUUUCACAGCAUUGAUACUGUACAUGAAAGAGAGCUGCCAACAUCAAACUAUAAACCAGCAGGGCAUGGAAGACCUAACAGGAGGUGGAACAUCAAAUAAGCUGAUUUUCCCAGUCAUGGCAUUAUUAGCAGGGAUGUUGGGAGGAGUUUUUGGGAUUGGAGGUGGAAUGCUUAUCAGCCCACUUCUGCUUCAAGUUGGAAUAGCACCUGAGAUAACUGCAGCAACUUGCUCGUUCAUGGUUUUCUUUUCAUCUUCAAUGUCGGCAUUACAGUAUCUAUUGUUGGGCAUGGAUCAUGUUGAUACCGCCAUCAUCCUUUCCUUCAUUUGUUUUGUUGCGUCACUUCUUGGGUUGCUGGUGGUACAGGGGGCCAUAGUAAAAUAUGGCAGGGCUUCAAUGAUUGUAUUCUCAGUUAGUACAGUAAUGGCUUUGAGUACUGUUCUGAUGACCAGCUUUGGAGCUCUUAAUGUUUGGGUGGAUUAUAAUUCUGGGAGAAACAUGGGGUUCAAACUACCCUGUUGAAGAAAGUUUUGUGUUAGUAAUUAGCUCCUAGAUUAGGUUCAGUUUUGAGUGCCAAGCUUGAAAUAAAAAGAACUACAUAUAGCAAAAGCAAUUUGUAUAGUAAUUCCUGAAAGCCUUGGAUGGCAGAGUCAGAUAGUCAUCAAGAGCAGCCAGGAUAGAUAAGAUCCUUUGAAAUAAAAUUAUGACUGCUUUUUUAGCA